ACACGUAGGGGGCGAGCGUUGUCCGGAUUUAUUGGGCGUAAAGAGCUCGUAGGUGGCUCGGUAAGUCGGGUGUGAAAUUUCGAGGCUCAACCUCGAGACGCCACCUGAUACUGCUGUGGCUAGAGUCCGGUAGGGGAGCGUGGAAUUCCUGGUGUAGCGGUGAAAUGCGCAGAUAUCAGGAGGAACACCAGCGGCGAAGGCGGCGCUCUGGGCCGGUACUGACACUGAGGAGCGAAAGCGUGGGGAUCAAACAGGAUUAGAUACCCUGGUAGUCCACGCCGUAAAUGUUGGGCACUAGGUGUGGGGUUCUAUCAACGGACUCCGUGCCGAAGCUAACGCAUUAAGUGCCCCGCCUGGGGAGUACGGCCGCAAGGCUAAA
This 379-nucleotide ribosomal RNA is filed under the name uncultured bacterium. Its description in RNAcentral is "bacterial SSU rRNA". It matches the Rfam family "Bacterial small subunit ribosomal RNA", at positions 523 to 898 of the family's 1533-position model. The record is from RNAcentral.